UCGCAUGGCACAGAGGGAAAAGGAGCAAUCCGCUUUGAGAUGGCCUCGCGUACGAUUAGCUAGUUGGUGAGGUAACGGCCCACCAAGGCGACGAUCGGUAGCCGGACUGAGAGGUUGAACGGCCACAUUGGGACUGAGACACGGCCCAGACUCCUACGGGAGGCAGCAGUGGGGAAUAUUGCACAAUGGGGGAAACCCUGAUGCAGCGACGCCGCGUGGAGGAAGAAGGUCUUCGGAUUGUAAACUCCUGUUGUUGAGGAAGAUAAUGACGGUACUCAACAAGGAAGUGACGGCUAACUACGUGCCAGCAGCCGCGGUAAAACGUAGGUCACAAGCGUUGUCCGGAAUUACUGGGUGUAAAGGGAGCGCAGGCGGGCAUCAAGUUGGGAGUGAAAUCCAUGGGCUCAACCCAUGAACUGCUUUCAAAACUGGUCGUCUUGAGUAGUGCAGAGGUAGGCGGAAUUCCCGGUGUAGCGGUGGAAUGCGUAGAUAUCGGGAGGAACACCAGUGGCGAAGGCGGCCUACUGGGCACCAACUGACGCUGAGGCUCGAAAGUGUGGGUAGCAUACAGGAUUAGAUACCCUGGUAGUCCACACCGUAAACGAUGAUUACUAGGUGUUGGGAGAUUGACCCUCUCAGUGCCGCAGUUAACACAAUAAGUAAUCCACCUGGGGAGUACGACCGCAAGGUUGAAACUCAAAGGAAUUGACGGGGGCCCGCACAAGCAGUGGAGUAUGUGGUUUAAUUCGACGCAACGCGAAGAACCUUACCAAGUCUUGACAUCCCUUGACGAUGCUGGAAACAGUAUUUCUCUUCGGAGCAAGGAGACAGGUGGUGCAUGGUUGUCGUCAGCUCGUGUCGUGAGAUGUUGGGUUAAGUCCCGCAACGAGCGCAACCCUUAUGGUCAGUUACUACGCAAGAGGACUCUGGCCAGACUGCCGUUGACAAAACGGAGGAAGGUGGGGAUGACGUCAAAUCAUCAUGCCCUUUAUGACUUGGGCUACACACGUACUACAAUGGCGUUAAACAAAGAGAAGCAAGACCGCGAGGUGGAGCAAAACUCAGAAACAACGUCCCAGUUCGGACUGCAGGCUGCAACUCGCCUGCACGAAGUCGGAAUUGCUAGUAAUCGUGGAUCAGCAUGCCACGGUGAAUACGUUCCCGGGCCUUGUACACACCGCCCGUCACACCAUGAGAGCCGGGGGGACCCGAAGUCGGUAGUCUAACCGCAAGGAGGACGCCGCCGAAGGUAAAACUGGUGAUUGGGGUGAAGUCGGAACAAGGU
Molecule: ribosomal RNA, 1285 nt
Filed under: metagenome
Description: bacterial SSU rRNA
Rfam family: Bacterial small subunit ribosomal RNA
Source: RNAcentral